AUAUAUAUAUAUAUAUAUAACUCAUAAGUUUAGUCUAAUCCAAAAAUAAACUAAUUUUAGGAUAGCGGAAUUCCAAAAUAAAGAUAAUGAACUCAGUACCAUGAUGGAAGCAAGUCCAAUUAUUAAGUUUGAAGAAAAAGUUAUAACAGAAAAUGUAAAUCUCUCAUUAAGGAGGCAAACUCAUAGUAUAAUUUCAAAAAGAUCUUUUGCAGGCAGUGGGGGCACUAGCCCCAUGCUGCAUCUAUCCUUGUGUAUAAAGUUUUUUAUACAUUUUAAAGAUCAUCAUUGAUUGGAUUCUUGAAAAAUAUUAGACAGCUUACCAAACAACUAGCGAGUUAGCACUGAUAAAAUUUGACUUAAGAACUAUGCAGCAGACAGUGGUGGCUUCAUGAGUAGGAAAUAAAGAUGGUUAAGUACAUAAAUGUAUUGAAAGUGGAUAGAAAAACAUCUCUUCAGCAAGCUCAACCUGUGAUACUGAAUUUGUGUGCCUUCUAUUGAGUCUUGGCGCAAAAACCAAGGAGCUUAGUAUUAAGAAAACAUUAAAGGUUUUUUUCUUAAAAAGAAAAAAAAGAAGAAGAAGAGCAUGAUGCGUUAAAGUUCUCUCAGGUGCCAUCAUCAGAUAUGGUACAAAUAUACAGAUCGUUUCAACAGCAAGAGACAGCUUGGGGAACAGACCUUUGAUACGGGACACGGUGUUCAGGAAUCCCAUCUUCAUUGCGUUUAUCUUCAAACCAUUUCACCACUCUUUUGCGAGGCAGAUUCGUCACUUGCACAAUGCUGCUAAUCAUUGCAUUAGUAGGUCUCUUUGUUCUUUUAUAUACUCUUUCAAGGGUUUCAACGUGGACUUUCUUCAGUCUCUUCUGAGCAGACCAUCUGUGCCUCAAAACAUGAACGGGCACUCCUUUCUCACUCUUAGAUUUCACAUCAUCCACGCUCACUGAUUCUGCAGGAAUGAUUUCAAUCGGUUUGCUUUCUGGCAAUGAGGAUGUUGAUGCCGGUUCAUCAGGUAAAGCAGCACUCAUCAUUACAAGAUUUGGAGGGGGGUCACGGAGCAACUCAAGAACAAUGGCCCUAUCAAGACAAAGUUCAGCAGCAAGGCUUUUGAUACUAGUUUUACGGCGUCCAUUUUUUAAAGCACGAGCCAGCCUUCGAAGCUGCCAAUUCUUAAGCUUUACUGGUCUUUCCUCCUCCACUUCAUCAUCAUCUUCUUCUUCGAUAGCAUUAACACCUCCAACAUCAUCUCCAGCGGAGCUAAGUAUUUCAAUAUCGUCAUCAUCAGCAAUUCCUAAUGCCUCCUCCAAUGCACGUUGAAGUUUAUCAAAAUCUGAUUCACUUAUAUCAUCACCAUCAUCAUCAUCAAUGGAUGACCCAUCUUUUUUAAGGUCUUCUUCCAGCAUGCUGAAGAGUGCCUCAAAGGCAUCGUCAUCCAUAUCAUCUUCCUCCUUCUUUUUCUUUGAAGAAGAGUUUGCAGAGUUUUGGUGUGGACGGCGAGAGAAAGAGAGGAUAGAGGUAGCAGGAGCGUGACGUGGCAGAAAGAGACUGGAUGGCCUGGGAGAUCCCAAGAAGACCCUCUCAAUGCUUGAAGAUGGCCAACUCUUUGGAGCAGCAAAAACCUUCACAGACGAUGAAGCCAAUGCCAUUUUCGUUCGCUCUCCCUGUCUACUGUACCAAACCGGAAACAUUCCGAGAGGCCAAGGGGGUUUAUCAUCAAGCGAACGUGUGCUCCCUCCAAACGCACCGUUUCGUCCUAAGGUAGUUCUGGAGUGGAGAGUAG
RNAcentral lists this unclassified non-coding RNA (1774 nucleotides) under Hevea brasiliensis (rubber tree). The record is from RNAcentral. Lineage: Eukaryota; Viridiplantae; Streptophyta; Magnoliopsida; Malpighiales; Euphorbiaceae.